RNAcentral lists this ribosomal RNA (370 nucleotides) under uncultured bacterium. Its description in RNAcentral is "bacterial SSU rRNA". It matches the Rfam family "Bacterial small subunit ribosomal RNA", at positions 28 to 401 of the family's 1533-position model. The record is from RNAcentral.
GACGAACGCUGGCGGCGUACUUAACACAUGCAAGUCGAACGGUAAGGCCCUUCGGGGUACACGAGUGGCGAACGGGUGAGUAACACGUGGGUGAUCUGCCCUGCACUUCGGGAUAAGCCUGGGAAACUGGGUCUAAUACCGGAUAGGACCAUGGACUUCACGGUUUGUGGUGGAAAGCUUUUGCGGUGUGGGAUGGGCCCGCGGCCUAUCAGCUUGUUGGUGGGGUAAUGGCCUACCAAGGCGACGACGGGUAGCCGGCCUGAGAGGGUGUCCGGCCACACUGGGACUGAGAUACGGCCCAGACUCCUACGGGAGGCAGCAGUGGGGGAAUAUUGCACAAUGGGCGCAAGCCUGAUGCAGCGACGCCGCG